RNAcentral lists this ribosomal RNA (520 nucleotides) under uncultured bacterium. Its description in RNAcentral is "partial 16S ribosomal RNA". It matches the Rfam family "Bacterial small subunit ribosomal RNA", at positions 213 to 715 of the family's 1533-position model. The record is from RNAcentral.
UUUCGCUAAAAAAAAAGCUUUUUAAAAAUUAGAUAGUUGGUUCGUUUGAUAGACAACCAAGUCGUAUUUUUAGUUGAUCUGAAAGGAUGUACAACCACAUUGGGGAUGAAGAACACCCAAAUUUUUCGGAAAUCAGCAGUGAGGAAUAUUGGACAAUGAGCGGAAGCUUGAUCCAGCAAGAUCCCGUGAGUGAAGAAGGAGUUUUUUGUAAAGUCGAAGAAAUGGUCCAUAGUUAGUUUUUGGGCGUUGUGUCUGUUUAUAGCUCUUAUAAUGACGGUAGCUAUAUAUGAAAGCCCCGGCUAACUUCGUGCCAGCAGCCGCGGUAAUACGGAGGGGGCUAGUGUUACUCAUAUUGAUUCGGUGUAAAGGGUAUGUAGGCGGUUUUUUCAGUUAGAACGUAAUCCUAUGAUCGAAAUUAUAGAAGUGUUCUAAAAACAAAUUAACUUUGAGUUUAAAAAAGGAUAACAGUACUUCUAGUCUAGGGGUAAAAUCUGCUGCGGAUUAGAGGGACUAUCGCGGG